CAGGCUUGCGAUGGUUUUAUUGUCUUGACAUUUUUACAUGUUCUGCAAUAAUUCAUGUACGCUGAGUCCGAAAAUGAUAUCCAUUUUUCUCCAUCACGUACAGAUUUUUCACAGAACGUCAAAGCGCAAUACAUAAAAGAAAGACCACAACACGUA
Long non-coding RNA from Limulus polyphemus (Atlantic horseshoe crab), 156 nucleotides. RefSeq lists it as uncharacterized. Lineage: Eukaryota; Metazoa; Arthropoda; Merostomata; Xiphosura; Limulidae. The record is from RefSeq and is a predicted model, not a curated record. The transcript has 3 exons.